GCUGGGCACGGUGGCGCGCACCUGUAAUCCCAGCAACUCAGGAGGUCGAGUCAGGAGGAUCAAGAGUUCAAAGCCAGCCUCAGCAAUUUAGUGAGGUCUUAAGCAACUUAAAGAGACCCUGUCUCUA
Molecule: small RNA, 127 nt
Filed under: Marmota monax (woodchuck)
Lineage: Eukaryota; Metazoa; Chordata; Mammalia; Rodentia; Sciuridae
Source: RNAcentral